RNAcentral lists this ribosomal RNA (274 nucleotides) under uncultured bacterium. Its description in RNAcentral is "partial 16S ribosomal RNA". It matches the Rfam family "Bacterial small subunit ribosomal RNA", at positions 523 to 796 of the family's 1533-position model. The record is from RNAcentral.
AUACGGAGGGUGCAAGCGUUAAUCGGAAUUACUGGGUGUAAAGAGUACGUAGGUGGUUUACUCAGUCAGAUGUGAAAGCCCCGGGCUUAACCUGGGAACUGCAUUUGAUACUGGUAAGCUAGAGUAUGGUAGAGGGGGGUAGAAUUCAUAGUGUAGCGGUGAAAUGCGUAGAUAUUAUGAGGAAUACCGGUGGCGAAGGCGGCCCCCUGGCCCAAUACUGACACUGAGGUACGAAAGCGUGGGUAGCGAACAGGAUUAGAAACCCCAGUAGUCC